UCUUUGCUUUGUGCUAAAGUCAACAGUGGCACAGUUGGAGCUCCAAUAAAUGCCGGGAUGCUCCCAGCUCCCGCACAGCCGGGCCGGCGGCCGGGGCGCAGCGUUAAUUUUCUCGUUAAUUUCUGAGGAUAUUUGGAUUAAACAUGAUCCCGCUCCUUCUCCUGCUGAUCCAUCUCCGUCUCCUUCCCGGUGUGCCCAAAGUCCUACUGGAGCUUCCUGUGCCACCAAAACCUCCGGACCCAUUCCCUAAUUCCCUGCACAGCUCUCACCUGAUAGGAAAACAGGAAGAGGUUGCCUGGGGAUGUUGUUGGCUGAGCCAAUUUUAAUUCCACGGUUUUCCCAGUUUUUAGGGAGAAUUGAUCCUGCAGGCUGGAUGGAUCCCAUGGUUGAAGGGGAAUGAUCCACAAGCUUCCUUGCAUCCCAAUCCAUGCUGGAAUUCCAUGAUCCAUUGUCUUGGUUACUUCAGCACAACAUGGAUUUAAGGAAAAAUCACUCUGAUCCAGGUGCUGGAUCAUCUGGAAAAUCCAGGAAAAACAACCAACCUGUCCUGGUGAAUGGAGCAAGAGGAGAGUUGGGACAGAGAGCAGAAUCCCAAAAGGAGAAUUGGGAAGCAGCAUCCAGACUUUAUCCCAAGGACAACGGCUGCAGAUGGGGACAAUAAAAGGGGACAUUAAAUUCCAUGUGUUCUGUGGGAUUAUCCUGGAAGCAAUCCCAAUUUAUUUUGCCAAAUUGAGCUCCAGCCAAUUCCUCUCCCAGGUGAUGAUGGAUAAAUAUCAUUAAAUUGGGAAAGAUGGAAACGAGGGAUGCCCUUGAAUCAGUGGGAACAAGUACUUGGGAAGGGAAGGACAAAACCAGGAUAUUGGGGUGCAAAUCAUCCAAAUGAGGCAGAUUAAACAUGAAGGAAAAUGAGAUGGAGGCUGGGAAAGUGGGGAAACCGUUGGGAUGUCUUUGGAACUUUGUUUUCCAGUGAAAAAAAUGGGGAAAAAUUUUCAGAAAUGGGUUGGGAAAACUUCUGGAGGGGUUUCUUGAAGAGGGAAAUAUUUCUCAGUUUGAUUCUAUUGAAUCUCAGCAUUUUAGAGGUUGCAGUGUUUGGGAUUGAAGCCAGAAUUCCUUGGGAAUGCAUUUAAAUCUCACAAUAGGGUGGGAAAUCCCAAGCACUUCCCAUUAUUCAAUGUGGAUUACCAUCCUGGAAUAUCCCCUGUUUCUGUUUUUGGAAAAGCCAAAUCCCUGGACUGAUCUGUCGCAGGUGGAAUUUAACCCUUCCUUUGCCUCCUUUCCAAAUAAAAGAUUU
Long non-coding RNA from Vidua chalybeata, 1291 nucleotides. RefSeq lists it as uncharacterized. NCBI's taxonomy places the organism in Eukaryota, Metazoa, Chordata, Aves, Passeriformes, Viduidae. The transcript has 4 exons. The record is from RefSeq and is a predicted model, not a curated record.